UGCACAAGUUAUACUCCAAAAUUAUUACUCUAAACCUAUUACAAGUUGUACUCCAUAACCCAAAGAUCUAUAGGGCAUACAAAUGAUCAUCAUUGUUUGGAAUCAUCGUCUCGUUAGGAUUAUAGUGGAACUCGCCGCUUGGAUUUAUGACUUGUUCCCGAAGAAAUCCUGCUAUUGCCUCUUGUAUUGCUUGGAGUUGCUCAUGUUGCAUGAGUUGUUGCUUCAACCAUUCAGUCUUCAAUUUGAAUUAAAAGAAGAUAUCAGUUAUAUCAAGGUUAUCAAUAGUAAUUUGAG
Molecule: long non-coding RNA, 294 nt
Filed under: Sorghum bicolor (sorghum)
Lineage: Eukaryota; Viridiplantae; Streptophyta; Magnoliopsida; Poales; Poaceae
Description: long non-coding RNA (SBIC_LNC013077)
Source: RNAcentral